This 1373-nucleotide ribosomal RNA is filed under the name Amolops larutensis (Larut sucker frog). RNAcentral describes it as "partial 16S rRNA". It matches the Rfam family "Bacterial large subunit ribosomal RNA", at positions 267 to 2557 of the family's 2925-position model. Lineage: Eukaryota; Metazoa; Chordata; Amphibia; Anura; Ranidae. The record is from RNAcentral.
GCCUAAAAUCUAGCCCACAUCAUGUAUCACCACCCCCCACCCCGCAGUAACCCCAAUAAAACAUUUUAUUAUUUUAGUACAGGCGAUAGAAAAAUUUAAAGGCGCUUCAGAUAAAGUACCGCAAGGGAAAAAUGAAAUAAUAAUGAAAUAACGUUAAAGCACCUAAAAGCAGAGACACUCCCUCGUACCUUUUGCAUCAUGGUCUAGCCAGUUUCUUCAAGCAAAAUGAAUUAUAGUUUGACCCCCCGAAACUAACGCGAGCUACUUCAAAACAGCCCUAAGAGCCAACCCGUCUCUGUUGCAAAAGAGUGGGAAGAUUUUCAAGUAGAGGUGACAAGCCUACCGAGCUUAGAGAUAGCUGGUUGUUCAAGAAAAGAGUUUUAGCUCAGCCUUAAGCUUACUUAUUAUACCAAACAUAAAUCCUAAACUUAAGAGUAAUUCAAAUAGGGCACAGCUUAUUUGAAAAGGAGUACAAUCCCAAAUACCGGGUAAGCCCGGGCAACGUAAAUAAAGUAGGCCUAAAAGCAGCCACCUUACACAAAAGCGUCAAAGCUUAAGAUAUCGUGCCCCCAAUACCAUAAAUCAUCCCCCAACCCUUCAACACCACUGAACUAUUUUAUAAACAUAUAAAAGCUAUUAUGCUAGAACUAGUAACAAGAAAUAGACUUUCUCCUCAAUGCACGCUUGAACCUAAUCGGACCACCCAUUGGCAAUUAACGUUAAUGUAAAAAUUAUAGCAUAUUCAGCUAGCAAACCCUAUUACACCUCAACGUCUACCUAACACCAGAGCAUUAAAGAAAAGAUUAAAAAAGAAAGAAGGAACUCGGCAAAUACUAGCCCCGCCUGUUUACCAAAAACAUCGCCUCUUGCCCAAAUAUAAGAGGUCCAGCCUGCCCAGUGAUAUAAUUUAACGGCCGCGGUACCCUAACCGUGCGAAGGUAGCAUAAUCACUUGUUCUCUAAAUAAGGACUAGUAUCAACGGCAUCACGAGGGCUAUACUGUCUCCUUUCUUAAAUCAGUGAAACUGAUUCUCCCGUGAAGAAGCGGGAAUACCCCUAUAAGACGAGAAGACCCCAUGGAGCUUUAAACUCACGCACACCCCCUGAGUACCUCAACCCCCGGGACCAAUUUAAAUUGUGCGCUAGUUUUGGGUUGGGGAGACCGCGGAGUAAAACUUAACCUCCACAACAAACGGAUUAACACCCUUAUCUAAGAACCACACCUCUAAGAAUCAACAAACUGAUGUCCCAUGACCCAUUUUAUGAUCAAUGAACCAAGUUACCCUGGGGAUAACAGCGCAAUCUACUUCGAGAGCCCAUAUCGACAAGUAGGUUUACGACCUCGAUGUUGGAUCAGGGUAUCCCAGUGGUGCA